GAUGAACGCUGGCGGCGUGCUUAAUACAUGCAAGUCGAACGGACAGGCCCUGCUCUUGCUGGUUGCUCGUGUGCCGAACACGUGAGUAAAACGCGAGUAACCUGUCCCUGUCUUUCGGAUAACACUAGGAAACUCCGGCUAAUAUCGCGUAGGAGCUCUUGCUCCAUGGUGGGGGUUGGUAAGUUUCGGUGGUUGGGGAUCGACUCGCGGCUUAUGAGCUUGUUGGUCGGGUAGUGGAUUUCCAAGGCUGUGACGGCUAGGCGGCCUGAGAGGGUGACCGGCCACAUGGGGACUGAGAUACGGCCCAGACGCCUACGGGAGGCAGCAGUGGAGAGUAUUGCACAAUGGGCGGAAGCCAGAGACAGCGGCGCCGCGUGCGUGAUGACGUCCUUCGAGUUGUAAACCGCUUUCGCCUGUGACGAAGCGGGAGUGACGGUAAUGGGUAAAGAAGCACCGGCUAACUACGUG
Molecule: ribosomal RNA, 468 nt
Filed under: uncultured bacterium
Lineage: Bacteria
Description: partial 16S ribosomal RNA
Rfam family: Bacterial small subunit ribosomal RNA
Source: RNAcentral